Molecule: long non-coding RNA, 619 nt
Organism: Mya arenaria
Lineage: Eukaryota; Metazoa; Mollusca; Bivalvia; Myida; Myidae
Exons: 3
Source: RefSeq, a predicted model, not a curated record
AAAACCCGUAUUUCUUGAAAAAGAACCUAAAUUUUCGACAACUCAUCGUUGGAUUUCCAUUCUUACGAUAUAAAAGCAAGUGUUCGUCUGCUCCCAUAUCAUUAUCUCAAGGGCGCGAUAGUCUUUAGCAAAUCAAGUAGGAGCAGACUUAUUGGCAAACUUUAAUACUUGGAGCUCCUCCAGAUUAAACGUCGACGACGUCACUUUCGGCCAAAGCAGAUGGGUAACUCAGGUGGAGGAGGUGGCCAGGGUGGUACUGAUGGCGGCGGUGGUGGCGGUGGCGGAGGUGGAGGUUUCGGUGGCGGUGGGGGUUCCGGCGGCGGUGGCAGCAAAAUCUGGGGUUCCGGAGGCCGCUCUUACGGCAUUCCUGUCGGGGUUAUGAACACCAGAAACAUCGACAAUUCUAUUGACUUCCAGUUUCUGCAGAAUGAUAUCCUCAUGAGCAGGACUUGGGACGCUUUCUAACGUGCCAUUUUACUUUGUCAUAAUAUAAAAUCAUUGUUCUGUAUUUUUCUAUGUUAAAUAAUGUGUUUUAGUUUGAUCGCAAAAAUUGUUGGACAAUAAAAUGUGUCAGUGGGAAAAGGGAAUGGGCAAAAUAUGAAUAAAACAUAAACACAUA